AUCGCCAGCGAACUCGAACUCGACCUCGAAGCUGUUGUUUUUUGUGCGAAGCAGGGGGCUGUUCUGCUGUGAAUUUUUGAGCUCUUGUUGCUGUUUUCUACAUGGAUGAAACAUGUAAUUUACAAUUGGUUUAAGGAUGGUUUUGAGGGCUGAUUUGGGAGAUGGACUGUUGCUUUUUUUUUUUGCAGCGAUUUGGGGAUGAAAAUAAGGUGAUUUGCUGGGGUUUUGGAUUGAUUUUUUCAGCAAAGUUUCACUGAUUUUGCUGCUCUCAAAACUGGAUUUCGUAGCUGAUUUGGGGAAAAUUAAGGCUGGAGUUGAGUAGUGUUUUGGCUAUUAAUUUGGGUGAUUU
Molecule: long non-coding RNA, 349 nt
Filed under: Nicotiana benthamiana
Lineage: Eukaryota; Viridiplantae; Streptophyta; Magnoliopsida; Solanales; Solanaceae
Description: long non-coding RNA (NBEN_LNC011317)
Source: RNAcentral